CCUGGUGUCAAUGGCGCAGUGGCCCCACUCCGACCCAUCCCGAACUCGGUUGUGAAACGCUGCAGCGGCGAAGAUAGUUAGGGCGUAAGCCCUUGUUAAAAUAGCUCGAUGCCAGGU
RNAcentral lists this ribosomal RNA (117 nucleotides) under cf. Phormidesmis sp. LEGE 11477. Lineage: Bacteria; Bacillati; Cyanobacteriota; Cyanophyceae; Leptolyngbyales; Leptolyngbyaceae. The record is from RNAcentral.